Molecule: ribosomal RNA, 489 nt
Filed under: uncultured bacterium
Lineage: Bacteria
Description: partial 16S ribosomal RNA
Rfam family: Bacterial small subunit ribosomal RNA
Source: RNAcentral
AGUGAACGCUGGCGGUAGGCCUAACACAUGCAAGUCGAACGGCAGCACAGUAAGAGCUUGCUCUUACGGGUGGCGAGUGGCGGACGGGUGAGGAAUACAUCGGAAUCUACUUUUUCGUGGGGGAUAACGUAGGGAAACUUACGCUAAUACCGCAUACGACCUACGGGUGAAAGCAGGGGAUCUUCGGACCUUGCGCGAUUGAAUGAGCCGAUGUCGGAUUAGCUAGUUGGCGGGGUAAAGGCCCACCAAGGCGACGAUCCGUAGCUGGUCUGAGAGGAUGAUCAGCCACACUGGAACUGAGACACGGUCCAGACUCCUACGGGAGGCAGCAGUGGGGAAUAUUGGACAAUGGGCGCAAGCCUGAUCCAGCCAUACCGCGUGGGUGAAGAAGGCCUUCGGGUUGUAAAGCCCUUUUGUUGGGAAAGAAAAGCAGCAGGUUAAUACCCCGCUGUGCUGACGGUACCCAAAGAAUAAGCACCGGCUAACUUC